ACCGAUAGACUGGGCUGGGGCAACGCUGAUGAAAGGCAAAUUCCUGAGAGAAAAAUCACCCAGAUUUUUCAGUGCCUUCUCUAGCUUUCUAGAAGUUGUUAUGAGUGGACCUGACUACCUAGAGAGAGUAAUACAGAAGCUCCGUGCCGAUCACAGCUACCUCAUUACCAUGUUCCUCCAAGAUGGCCGCCCCUGAGGAGAAUCAUCAACUGGGCUUUACGGAAGAGAGAAAUCCAAACGACCAUCAGCAACAAAUGAAAGACUGAAGUUGAAAGUUUCAAGAUUGUCAAGAAUGACGAGUUGGACUUGGUCUAGUUACUUCCACAGCAGCAGGAGGAACAUGUGUGUGACUCAGGAUAACUGGGGAAGCCUUGGCUAGGCUUUCCUCAUGUCAACCUACCACUCAAAGGGAGAAAACCUCCUGAUCAGAGGAAAUCCAUAAUUUUUGAAUGCUGGCCGAGGUCUGUGACCUCUGACUGAAUGGUUUCCAAGCUCCGAAUUCCUAGGUGAUGUUUUCAUUUGUUCACACUUGCUGAAGAAGGGAAAGGCUCUCUGAUUUACGUGUAAGCAAAACAAUCUAAACAGUAGGAUAAAAUCAUGUUGGAAUGGAGUUCUGUGUGGAUGCUCCUUUGAACCAAAUCAGUUCCACAACUGACCCUGUCAGGGACAUAUAAAUUUAGCAUUUUGGUGUGGAUACAGAAGACGAGAUUAACACAGAUCAAGUAACAUGGAAAUAAAAAAGGAGACAAUGCUGGAUGAUACAGGGGCAGCCAACAAGAGGAGAAAACCCAAGCAUUGGCAAAUGCCUCAUUAUCCAAAGAACACUGAGGUGUGGAGCAAAACUGUGUUGAAUGAACUGUAGAUGGAAAUUCUCUCCUUCCCACCGAGGAGCCGCUGCAGGUUGCAGACUCCCAGAAUGCCACACUGAGAAGAGGAGGGCUAAAAUUCUAGAGCAGAAUCCCUGGGGCAGCCCCUGCUGAAGAAGGGUGCAUCUGUUGAGAAUCUCAUCACCGCCCCCACCCCGCCCAGCCUUCAAUUUAGAGGAAUUUCUAGUUCACGCAGAAUGAAGACAAGAUCACAUAAGUGAGGACGACGCCCCAUUUACAAGUGUGAUUUGGAAGACUGAAGUGGAAACCUUGGGAAGGUGGGCCUCAGAGUAUGUCAGCUGGGGUCAGACGGGAACAGGAGUCUGGCUCAACACACAUUUAUUGCACUCCUGUUUCAUGCCAAGAAAUGUACCAAAAUCUGGGACUGUGUAACACAGCAAAGGAAAAGACUCAUCUCCAGGAAGCCCCCUUGUCUAGGAAGAGAAAUUGAAUAUCAGCAUAAGGUGGUGAAAAGCUGUGAAGGAGAUGAGUGCCAGGAGUCCAUGGAGGAAGGAUUCUAGCCUGGACAGAGUCUCCAUGAAUUGCAAGGGAAAACAAGUGGUACACUGGUAUUUCUAUUUGAUAACCUGUUCUCUUUGGAAUUCCGGUUAGAAAUCAAAGGCUUACUUGAGUUUUAAUGCUUUCGGGACUUCAAAUGCUUUUCUAUCUUCCUAAUAAUAUAUUAACAUUUUCUGAAGACAACAUAUAUGUGGAAAACAACAUUAUUUACUCAAAUAAUUUUUUUUGAAAAAUGGACCAAAAAAAAAGAAAAACCAACAAAAA
Molecule: long non-coding RNA, 1649 nt
Filed under: Homo sapiens (human)
Lineage: Eukaryota; Metazoa; Chordata; Mammalia; Primates; Hominidae
Description: long intergenic non-protein coding RNA 1206
Source: RNAcentral